This 601-nucleotide ribosomal RNA is filed under the name uncultured bacterium. RNAcentral describes it as "bacterial SSU rRNA". It matches the Rfam family "Bacterial small subunit ribosomal RNA", at positions 330 to 923 of the family's 1533-position model. The record is from RNAcentral.
UUCGGCUUCCUACGGGAGGCAGCAGUAGGGAAUCUUCCGCAAUGGGCGAAAGCCUGACGGAGCAACGCUGCGUGAGUGAUGAAGGCCUUCGGGUUGUAAAACUCUGUCUUCUGUGAAGAACAAGUCUGUGAGUGGAAUGCACAGGCCCUGACGGUAACAGAGGAGGAAGCCCCGGCUAACUACGUGCCAGCAGCCGCGGUAAUACGUAGGGGGCAAGCGUUGUCCGGAAUCACUGGGCGUAAAGCGCGCGCAGGCGGCGAUCUGCGUCUGGGGUGAAAGCCCGGAGCUCAACUCCGGGAUUGCCUUGGAUACGGGGUCGCUUGAGGAUCGGAGAGGCAAGGGGAAUUCCACGUGUAGCGGUGAAAUGCGUAGAGAUGUGGAGGAACACCUGUGGCGAAGGCGCCUUGCUGGCCGAUUUCUGACGCUGAGGCGCGAAAGCGUGGGGAGCAAACAGGAUUAGAUACCCUGGUAGUCCACGCCGUAAACGAUGAGUGCUAGGUGUUGGGGGGUACCACCCUCAGUGCCGAAGCUAACGCAUUAAGCACUCCGCCUGGGGAGUACGGUCGCAAGACUGAAACUCAAAGGAAUUGACGGAAGCCGA